This is a long non-coding RNA of Lagopus leucura (white-tailed ptarmigan), 346 nucleotides long. RefSeq lists it as uncharacterized. The record is from RefSeq and is a predicted model, not a curated record. Lineage: Eukaryota; Metazoa; Chordata; Aves; Galliformes; Phasianidae. The transcript is spliced from 3 exons.
GCUCUGGCAUCUCACAGCAAGCUAAUUGGAGCUUCAGCUGAGUCCACGAGCUUCCUUCUGCUCGUCCUAAGUAAGGAGAAGCAGCAGGAGGAACAGCCAGGGCCAGAUGGGACUGCACGGAGAGAGCAUUGGAGAUUCUGCUAGCAAGGUGCCUCUGUGCAGGUGGUGAUGGUGAACUCUCUGGAGCUGCUGUGUUCACCUAGAACUUGUUAGACCUGUGGAAAAGAAGAGAUCUUGCCAAGAAGCUACAGAGGACAACAAAUGUUUCCCGGCCUUCCUACUGUAACACCCUGAUGUUUUUGGCAUAUAGUCAUAGACUCUGACGAGGGAGUAAUGGAGGCGCUGA